GCUUGGGAAAGUCUGAGAGGAAACCUCUCGUGUUUCGCUCUCUGCUCGGGAGGACCAACUUGUCCCCCUUGUAGGGGCCUUGCCGCCAACGAUGUAUGCGAAGGAACAGUAAAACGGAAAUUUUACCGUUCAACGGUCGCAAGACUAUUUAGAGGAAAAAAGUGUCACAGUUUGGUAAGAAGAUCCAAGGGCACGAUCAACAGCUCGUGCACUGCCUUGGUGUGGACCCAGAGUUCAAGCACAGACGAAGAUCAGACACUGACUUCACACUUCUGAUAGAUCCUGUGAAACCUUAGUAUAGUAUUUCUCUCCUGCUGGUGGAAGAGAGAAGCACAAGACUAAAAGCUCUCUGGUUUUCAGCCUCUGAUAGUAAGGAGCAUGAGCCCUCAGCUUGCUCGUAAAUUUCAGGACCUCUUCUCCUGCAUCCACAGGCAGAUAGAGGGUCAUCCUCAUCAACAGCUCUACCAGCGCCACCUCUACCUAGAAGAGUUGCUCCUCCUCCUCCAACUACUUUACCUAGAAUAAGUAGUAAACCAUCACCACCACCAUCACUUUUGUUGGAGGAUCUCUUCCUCCAGGAUUACCACCUGCUCUGUCUCAUGGAAUGAAGCAGAAAUAAAUGUAUAAACUUGAACUCUA
Molecule: long non-coding RNA, 639 nt
Organism: Balaenoptera musculus (blue whale)
Lineage: Eukaryota; Metazoa; Chordata; Mammalia; Artiodactyla; Balaenopteridae
Exons: 4
Source: RefSeq, a predicted model, not a curated record